AGUGAACGCUGGCGGUAGGCCUAACACAUGCAAGUCGAACGGCAGCACAGGAAAGCUUGCUCUCUGGGUGGCGAGUGGCGGACGGGUGAGGAAUACAUCGGACUCUAUUCUGUCGUGGGGGAUAACGUAGGGAAAAUUACGUUAAUAGCGCAUACGACCUACGGGUGAAAGCAGGGGACCGUCGGACCUUGCGCGAUUGAAUGAGCCGAUGUCGGAUUAGCUAGUUGGCGGGGUAAAGGCCCACCAAGGCGACGAUCCGUAGCUGGUCUGAGAGGAUGAUCAGCCACACUGGAACUGAGACACGGUCCAGACUCCUACGGGAGGCAGCAGUGGGGAAUAUUGUACAAUGGGCGCAAGCCUGAUCCAGCCAUACCGCGUGGGUGAAGAAGGCCUUCGGGUUGUAAAGCCCUUUUGUUGGGAAAGAAAUCCAGCUGGCUAAUACCCGGUUGGGAUGACGGUACCCAAAGAAUAAGCACCGGCUAACUUCGUGCCAGCCGCCGCCGUAA
This 506-nucleotide ribosomal RNA is filed under the name uncultured bacterium. RNAcentral's name for it is "partial 16S ribosomal RNA". It matches the Rfam family "Bacterial small subunit ribosomal RNA", at positions 29 to 523 of the family's 1533-position model. The record is from RNAcentral.